Molecule: ribosomal RNA, 237 nt
Filed under: uncultured bacterium
Lineage: Bacteria
Description: partial 16S ribosomal RNA
Rfam family: Bacterial small subunit ribosomal RNA
Source: RNAcentral
GCAAGUCGAACGGAACUUUAGGAGCUUGCUCUUAAAGUUUAGUGGCGAACGGGUGAGGAAUAUAUAGGAAUCUACCUAACAGUAAGGAAUAACCUUGGGAAACCAAAGCUAAUGCCAUAUAUUACCGAUUUAUCGGGAAAGAUUUAUCGCUGUUAGAUGAGCCUGUAUCAGAUUAGCUUGUUGGUGGGGUAAAGGCCUACCAAGGCAAUGAUCUGUAGCUGGUCUGAGAGGAUGAUC